Dipodomys spectabilis (banner-tailed kangaroo rat) is the source of this 415-nucleotide long non-coding RNA. RefSeq lists it as uncharacterized. Lineage: Eukaryota; Metazoa; Chordata; Mammalia; Rodentia; Heteromyidae. The transcript is spliced from 4 exons. The record is from RefSeq and is a predicted model, not a curated record.
AAUGAGCUCCAGGAAAUGAAAGCAAUAGGUUUUUUUUUUUUUGCUGCUUUUGUUUUCCUUACUUUUUGUCCUGUUUGCUCAUUGAUACGUCUUCGGGAAGGUCGGGUUUGAAUUUUUUUUAAACUGGACCACAAUUUUCCUACCUAAGAUUUUCUGAGGAGUUGGGAUUACAGCCAUAAACUACCAUGCCUGAGCUGUCCCCAUCUUGGGUGAAGCCCGCAGUGGCCUGAGGCAGCCUCAGGGGGUGAGUCAGGGAACAGCUGUGACAAACUCAGAAAACCUCCUGUCAGUCAUCAUGAAGCUCAUGGGAGAUUUGGAUCUUGAAUUGAAAGCAGCACCUGUGCAUGUUGGAAAAGCGCUCUACCAUGAACCAUGUCUCCACAGAGAGAACCAAUAAAGGGCACAGGAUGUGAUA